RNAcentral lists this ribosomal RNA (253 nucleotides) under uncultured bacterium. RNAcentral's name for it is "partial 16S ribosomal RNA". It matches the Rfam family "Bacterial small subunit ribosomal RNA", at positions 524 to 776 of the family's 1533-position model. The record is from RNAcentral.
UACGUAGGGUGCAAGCGUUGUCCGGAAUUAUUGGGCGUAAAGAGCUUGUAGGCGGUUUGUCGCGUCUGCUGUGAAAUUUCGGGGCUCAACCCCGAACUUGCAGUGGGUACGGGCAGACUAGAGUGUGGUAGGGGAGACUGGAAUUCCUGGUGUAGCGGUGAAAUGCGCAGAUAUCAGGAGGAACACCGAUGGCGAAGGCAGGUCUCUGGGCCAUAACUGACGCUGAGAAGCGAAAGCGUGGGGAGCGAACAGG